UCCCUGGUAGCUCAGUUGGUAAAGAAUCUGCCUGCAAUACAGGAUACCUAGGUUUGAUCCCUGGGUGGGGAA
This 72-nucleotide transfer RNA is filed under the name Ovis aries (sheep). It matches the Rfam family "tRNA". Rfam says of the family: Transfer RNA (tRNA) molecules are approximately 80 nucleotides in length. Their secondary structure includes four short double-helical elements and three loops (D, anti-codon, and T loops). Lineage: Eukaryota; Metazoa; Chordata; Mammalia; Artiodactyla; Bovidae. The record is from Rfam by way of RNAcentral.